This 422-nucleotide ribosomal RNA is filed under the name delta proteobacterium SCGC AAA001-I23. Its description in RNAcentral is "SSU rRNA". It matches the Rfam family "Bacterial small subunit ribosomal RNA", at positions 514 to 934 of the family's 1533-position model. Lineage: Bacteria; Deltaproteobacteria. The record is from RNAcentral.
GCCGCGGUAAUACGGGGGGAGCGAGCGUUGUUCGGAUUUAUUGGGCGUAAAGGGCGUACAGGCGGUAGUGUAAGUCAGAUGUGAAAUGCCUCGGCUCAACCGGGGAUCUGCAUUUGAUACUGCAUUACUUGAGUACAGGAGAGGAGAGCGGAAUUCUAGGUGUAGCGGUGGAAUGUGUAGAUAUCUGGAAGAACACCAGUGGCGAAGGCGGCUCUCUGGCCUGAUACUGACGCUGACGCGCGAAAGCUAGGGGAGCAAACAGGAUUAGAUACCCUGGUAGUCCUAGCUGUAAACGUUGGGCACUAGGUGUUGGGGGUAUCGACCCCCUCAGUGCCGAAGCUAACGCAUUAAGUGCCCCGCCUGGGGAGUACGGCCGCAAGGCUGAAACUCAAAGGAAUUGGCGGGGGAGCACGGUCAUAGCU